RNAcentral lists this ribosomal RNA (161 nucleotides) under uncultured bacterium. RNAcentral's name for it is "partial 16S ribosomal RNA". It matches the Rfam family "Bacterial small subunit ribosomal RNA", at positions 358 to 511 of the family's 1533-position model. The record is from RNAcentral.
GGAAUCUUCGGCAAUGGACGAAAGUCUGACCGAGCAACGCCGCGUGAGUGAAGAAGGUUUUCGGAUCGUAAAACUCUGUUGGUAGAGAAGAACGUUGGUGAGAGUGGAAAGCUCAUCAAGUGACGGUAACUACCCAAAAAGGGCGGCUAACUACGUGCCAA